This 715-nucleotide unclassified non-coding RNA is filed under the name Hevea brasiliensis (rubber tree). The record is from RNAcentral. Lineage: Eukaryota; Viridiplantae; Streptophyta; Magnoliopsida; Malpighiales; Euphorbiaceae.
GGAAGUUUAUAUCCAAUUCAGCCUAAAAAAUUUGUAAUCUUCCCAUUAUUCUAUUCCUGCCUUGCUAAACACUCCCACCAAAGAUCAAACCAACCUUCUUUUCUUCCAUUUCUUUCUUCUUCUUCUUGCAUACGAUCAAUGGCUGUAGCAAGCUUUUCUUCUCCUCAUAUCCUAGCUCAAAAUUCUGGUCCAGUUAUAAAGCCUAAAAGCAAAACCAUGAUGCUUAAACAGAGUAAAAUUCCACUCAAGAAAGCCCCUACACUUCAAGUCAGAUCAUCUUUCAAGAACACGGUCUUUGAGAAUCAAUCUGAGGGCAUAAUUUGUUACAGAGAUGAAAGUGGAGAGAUAAUUUGUGAAGGAUUUGAUGAAGGCCCUCGGUUUCAUCAACAGCUUCCAAGAACAGCCUAUCAUUCAACUUCAAGAGAUGCUGUAAUUAUCAAUCUGCUUCAACAAAGAUUGCUUCAAAUUGUUAAUGGCGGUGAAUUUAACAACUCUGACAAUGGAGUUGCUGCUGUGCAAGAAGACUUCAAAUGGAAUGGCUUUAACAAAUUCUGCUGAUCAGUGACUAACUCUUUCAUCAAUGUACUUCAAAAUAAUUUGUAUCAGUAUGGAAAGGAAAAGUAUUUCAUUUCUUACAAUACCAGAAUGUAAUUAAAUGCCCAGCCGAAACCCUAAUCAUAUUUCCUAUCAUUUUGUUUUCAAAUUCCAGCAUCAU